GGAGAGAUGUCUGAGUGGUCGAAAGAGCUCGCCUCGAAAGCGAGUGGCCCUGCAAGGGGCCCGUGGGUUCGAAUCCCACUCUCUCCGCCA
Molecule: transfer RNA, 90 nt
Filed under: Alicyclobacillus sp. SO9
Lineage: Bacteria; Bacillati; Bacillota; Bacilli; Caryophanales; Alicyclobacillaceae
Description: tRNA-Ser
Rfam family: tRNA
About the family: Transfer RNA (tRNA) molecules are approximately 80 nucleotides in length. Their secondary structure includes four short double-helical elements and three loops (D, anti-codon, and T loops). Further hydrogen bonds mediate the characteristic L-shaped molecular structure. tRNAs have two regions of fundamental functional importance: the anti-codon, which is responsible for specific mRNA codon recognition, and the 3' end, to which the tRNAs corresponding amino acid is attached (by aminoacyl-tRNA synthetases). tRNAs cope with the degeneracy of the genetic code in two manners: having more than one tRNA (with a specific anti-codon) for a particular amino acid; and 'wobble' base-pairing, i.e. permitting non-standard base-pairing at the 3rd anti-codon position.
Source: RNAcentral